AAUAUUGCGCAAUGGGGGCAACCCUGACGCAGCAACGCCGCGUGAAGGAUGAAGGUCNNNGGAUUNUAAACUUCUUUGAUUGGNGAANAAAAUGACGGUACCCAAGGAACAAGCCACGGCUAACUACGUGCCAGCAGCCGCGGUAAUACGUAGGUGGCAAGCGUUGUCCGGAAUUACUGGGUGUAAAGGGCGUGUAGGCGGGAGAGCAAGUCAGAUGUGAAAUCCCAGGGCUUAACUCUGGAGCUGCAUCUGAAACUGUUCUUCUUGAGUGUCGGAGAGGAAAGUGGAAUUCCCAGUGUAGCGGUGAAAUGCGUAGAGAUUGGGAGGAACACCAGUGGCGAAGGCGGCUUUCUGGACGAUAACUGACGCUGAGGCGCGAAAGCGUGGGGAGCAAACAGG
Molecule: ribosomal RNA, 399 nt
Filed under: uncultured bacterium
Lineage: Bacteria
Description: partial 16S ribosomal RNA
Rfam family: Bacterial small subunit ribosomal RNA
Source: RNAcentral